Non-coding RNA from Odocoileus virginianus texanus, 3594 nucleotides. The record is from RefSeq and is a predicted model, not a curated record. NCBI's taxonomy places the organism in Eukaryota, Metazoa, Chordata, Mammalia, Artiodactyla, Cervidae.
UAGGCUGGCAGAUACGUUCGUGAGGUUACUCCUUUCUGCCCGUGGACGCCACCGAGAAAGCAUCGUUGAAGACUUCCCCGCCUCCACUGCCGUCAUGUCUAAAUCAGAGUCUCCCAAAGAGCCCGAACAGCUGCGGAAGCUCUUCAUCGGAGGAUUGAGCUUUGAAACAACUGAUGAGAGUCUGAGGAGCCAUUUUGAGCAAUGGGGAACUCUCACAGACUGUGUGGUAAUGAGGGAUCCAAACACCAAGCGCUCCAGAGGCUUCGGGUUUGUCACAUACGCCACGGUGGAGGAGGUGGAUGCGGCCAUGAAUGCAAGGCCACACAAGGUGGACGGAAGAGUUGUGGAACCAAAGAGGGCCGUGUCAAGAGAAGAUUCUCAAAGACCUGGUGCCCACUUAACUGUGAAAAAGAUUUUUGUUGGUGGCAUUAAAGAAGACACUGAAGAACAUCACCUGAGAGAUUAUUUUGAACAGUAUGGGAAAAUUGAAGUAAUUGAAAUCAUGACUGACCGAGGCAGUGGCAAAAAGAGAGGGUUUGCUUUUGUAACCUUUGAUGACCAUGACUCUGUAGACAAGAUUGUCAUUCAGAAAUACCACACUGUGAAUGGCCACAACUGUGAAGUGAGAAAAGCCCUGUCUAAGCAAGAGAUGGCUAGUGCUUCAUCCAGCCAGAGAGGUCGAAGUGGUUCUGGAAACUUUGGUGGUGGUCGUGGAGGUGGUUUUGGUGGGAAUGACAACUUUGGUCGUGGAGGAAACUUCAGUGGUCGAGGUGGCUUUGGUGGCAGCCGUGGUGGUGGCGGAUAUGGUGGCAGUGGGGAUGGAUAUAAUGGAUUUGGUAAUGACGGUGGUUAUGGAGGAGGCGGCCCUGGUUACUCUGGAGGAAGCAGAGGCUAUGGAAGUGGUGGACAGGGUUAUGGAAACCAGGGCAGUGGCUAUGGCGGGAGUGGCAGCUAUGACAGCUAUAACAACGGUGGAGGCGGAGGCGGCUUUGGCGGUGGUAGUGGAAGCAAUUUUGGAGGUGGCGGAAGCUACAAUGAUUUUGGCAAUUACAACAAUCAAUCUUCAAAUUUUGGACCCAUGAAAGGAGGAAACUUUGGAGGCAGAAGUUCUGGCCCCUAUGGUGGUGGAGGCCAAUACUUUGCCAAACCACGAAACCAAGGUGGCUAUGGUGGUUCCAGCAGCAGCAGCAGCUAUGGCAGUGGCAGAAGGUUUUAAUUACUGCCAGGAAACAAAGCUUAGCAGGAGAGGAGAGCCAGAGAAGUGACAGGGAAGCUACAGGUUACAACAGAUUUGUGAACUCAGCCAAGCACAGUGGUGGCAGGGCCUAGCUGCUACAAAGAAGACAUGUUUUAGACAAUACUCAUGUGUAUGGGCAAAAAACUCGAGGACUGUACUUGUGACUAAUUGUAUAACAGGUUAUUUUAGUUUCUGUUCUGUGGAAAGUGUAAAGCAUUCCAACAAAGGGUUUUAAUGUAGAUUUUUUUUUUUGCACCCAUGCUGUUGAUUGCUAAAUGUAAUAGUCUGAUCAUGACGCUGAAUAAAUGUCUUUUUUUUUUUUUUUAAUGUGCUGUGUAAAGUUAGUCUACUCUGAAGCCAUUUUGGUAAACUACCCCAACAGUGUGAAGUUAGAAUUCCUUCAGGGUGAUGCCAGGUUCCAUUUGAAAUUUAUUUACAACCUGCUUGGUGGAGAAGCUGUUGUCUUCAGAACCUUGGUGUAGUUGAACUGACAGUUACUGUGUUGUGACCUGGAGUUCACCAUUAAAAGGGUCACCCAUGCAAAGUCAUGGAGGUUUUUUUUUUUUUUUGGUUAUUAAUGAUUGUUGGCACAUCCUAUGCAAUAUAUCUAAAUUGAAUUAUGGUACCAGAUAAAAGUUAUAGAUGGGAAUGAAGCUUGUGUAUCAUCCAUUAUCAUGUGUAAUCAAUAAAAGAUUUAAUACCCUCUUGAAUGGAAUGACAACUGUAUGGAUUUGGGACUGGCAGAGUUUUGGACCUUCCCUACCCACUACCCCUCAUGUUGAAUGCUUCUAUCAAUUCAAGUUCAAAACUCUGCCAGAGAAUAGAAACCAGCUGCUGGCUAAUGCCACCUCGUAAAUCCACAAAUUAGUUUGGGGGAAGACCUUUUUUAAAGUGACUAGUGCCAUUAAGAAUUUUAUUCAACACACACAAAAAAACAGGCUUACAUUAAAGGAAAACUGCAGUUUCUGUCCUGGUUGGGUGGGUCUUUAUAGUAGUUUAUGGAUUGACCACUUACUAUAUGGAGAUUAAAAAUUCAUGUGGUGAGAAACUGUAUCGUCUACUUAAAUACGUGCUAACUGCAGUUUUCCUUUAAAUAUGGCACAAGAUCACACAACCAUCCUAAAAUGUUGCUUGUAUAGAAAAUGACUUUUAAACCUUUAUAACGUUAUUAUCCAAUCAUUGUUAUCUGUACAUAGCUUCCUUUGAGCCUUCGCUUUGGUGCCCUCAAUUUCAGUGCCAUUGUACCUCGUAGUAUAGAUAUUUGUUUACCACUAGGAUUGUGUACUCCAUCCCAUGGGUGUGUUACCUGGAAUUUUGGGGAGGGUUGGGGUGGGGUUGGGUGGGAGGUGGAGGUGGGUGGGAAAGCAUGGGUAAUAGUUCCAUGAGCUUGAUACUGGCUGAGUUUGCAAUGGCAGGUGGAACCUUAACUAUUGAGGGAGUUUGCAGAUACCUCAGGAUUCGUGACAAUGCCUUUAAAGAUCCAGGAGAGAUGUUCAGCUACUAGGAACUGCUAGCAAGUAUAGCGCGAAUGGCUCCGAGCCCAGACACUCUACAGCUGAGAGUAGACACUUGUGGUAUGUGGAGUACAGAUAAGCCAGGGGCAGGCCACGGCACUCCAUGAAAGCUAGGAGAGUGAAGUUUCAGUGAUCAUCGCAAGGAAGGAGGCAGACAAGAGUAAGGCACACCUGACUCUUAGGACUAGCGGUCAGAACCAGGAGAAAAGGUUUUAUUGCUAUGCUGAUAGGUAAGAACAGAUUUUACUUACAUCCAUAUAGCUCUCUAAAAUCAAGCCUUCUCAUUUUCCUUAAUAUAUUGAGCCAAAACUAGUCCAGUUAAGCUGAACUUGGUUUUUCUGGAACUGAGUUGCUUUAAAUUGACACCCUACUCUUGGUGGCUCCCAAAUGAAGGAAGUGAGCACUUUUAAUUACCUCUCUACUGUGAUAUAUAUUUACCCUUUAAUUUCUAUAUUUCUUACCUUCCUUUGACCUAUUUCCUUAAAACAAUGGCUCAAAGUAAUAUUAGAAUCUUCCCCCCAAAUGCUUGUGGGAGGUUGGGUGGGCCGUUAGUGGGAGGUGGGGGGUUAGCCUGAGAUGGAACUUGUCUCUGAAAAAAAGCUAGUUCUAAAGGCUGUUUACUUUUCUAGGGAGGACUCUGCUACCACAGGCAUAUCACCUCUUAAAAACCAGAAACUUCAGUCCAAGCUCAUGGAUAAAAAGAAACAUCCUUAAUGAGGACCUUUAUCCGAGCCUCUUGGUGCUUGAUUGUCACUGCUAUGCAGUUACUUACUACCUGCUGUGCAGCGUGAAUCAUUCAAUUUUGUGAAUGAACUUUAAAAAAAUAAACUGCAUUUAACUUGG